CGGACGGGUGAGUAAUGUCUGGGAAACUGCCUGAUGGAGGGGGAUAACUACUGGAAACGGUAGCUAAUACCGCAUAACGUCGCAAGACCAAGAGGGGACCUUCGGGCCUCUUGCCAUCGGAUGUGCCCAGAUGGGAUUAGCUAGUAGGUGGGGUAACGGCUCACCUAGGCGACGAUCCCUAGCUGGUCUGAGAGGAUGAUCAGCCACACUGGGACUGAGACACGGCCCAG
Molecule: ribosomal RNA, 230 nt
Filed under: uncultured bacterium
Lineage: Bacteria
Description: partial 16S ribosomal RNA
Rfam family: Bacterial small subunit ribosomal RNA
Source: RNAcentral